Molecule: long non-coding RNA, 1122 nt
Organism: Homo sapiens (human)
Lineage: Eukaryota; Metazoa; Chordata; Mammalia; Primates; Hominidae
Gene: DIS3L-AS1
Product: DIS3L antisense RNA 1
Exons: 2
Source: RefSeq, marked validated
AACCGCCGUAACUGCCGCGCCCGGGGGAGGCCCGGAGCUACACGCUCCAGGCUGGGGCCCGGCCCUCCCGGCCUUAGUUUCUUCCCUUCCCUCAGUGGCCUGGACCAGGGCGGAGGGGUGGAAACGACCUACCCCAGAGACGGAGGGAAGACUAGGAUGAUACCUGGACGGCAGGUGAAGAAGGGCUGGGCGCAGCUGUCCAAGAUUAGGAGACUUUGUUUGUCCCCCCCAGGUCCAUGUGGGAAUGGAGCCGCCGUAUUAAUACUAAUACCGGGGUCUGGCUCUCUUACCCAGGCUGGAGUGCCCUGGCACAAUCUCAGCUCACUGCAUCCUCCGCCUCCUCGGCUCAAGCCAUCUCCCACCUCCGCCUCCCAAGUACCAGGGACCACAGGCACACACCAGCAUGCCUGGCUAAUGUUCAUAAUUUUUUUUUUUUUUUUUUGUAGAGAUAGGGUUUUGUCAUGUUGCCCAGGCUGGUCUUGAACUCCUGGGCUCAAGUGAUCUAUCAGCCUCAGCCUUCUGAAGUGCUGAGAUUAUAGGCAUGAGCCACCAUGCCUGGCCUAUUUCAGUUUCUAUAGUUCAGAAGUCUGAGCAUGGCUGAGUUAGAUUCUCUGCUCAGGGUUUCACAAGGCCAAAAUCAAGGUGUUGAUUGGGCUGCAAUCACUUCUGGAGCUUGGGGUCUUCUAUCAAGUUCACGUGGUUUUUGGCAGAAUUUAGUUCUUUGUGGUUGUAGGGCCGGGCCUGCAGUUCUCUUGCUGGCUGUUAGCCAGCAGUGCUCAAAGCUCCUGGAGGCCCCUGCGGUUCCUUGCCAUGCCCUUGCACACUUCCAAGCUCUUUCAUCAGAGGAAGCCAGGCACUUUAUGGCCUCACCUUAUCAGAUCAGGCCCACUGAGGAUAAUCUCCUAUGUUCAGGUCAGCUGAUUUGGGACAUUUUUUUUAAAUCUAAAAAAUUUCAAUUUCGUCUAUAAAAUCUCUUCAGAGUGGCACCUACAUUAGCCUUUGACUGAAUAACUAGGAAAAAUGUGUAUGCCAGGGUUCAAGAAUCUUUGGGAGCCAUCUCAGAAUUCUGCCUACCAUGAUGCAUAAUAAUCAUUUGAACUCAAUAAAUUAUAUUUAAAACUA